AGAAUCAGAAUUAGCUUUAUUGCCAGCAGGGACGUCGUUAGGCCUAUUUUAGGGGGGCUGAAGCUACCCCAAAAUGUUGCUAAGCCCCCCUAAAUGAUAAUAAGAACAACAAUAACAAUUCGAUUUAUCAACAACCAUAUCCCCAUUCAUAUUUAGACGCAACAAAUGAUAUAUAUCCAGCUACAAAUAGCCGAGAAGUCGUAAGUUGGACAGAAGUACAAAGAGUCGUUGUGCUAUCAAGAUGAUGCACCGCACCGUCUCGUUGCAUUGGUGUGAACUGGCAGCUUUCAGAGCGUUGUAGACCGGAGCGCUGCAAGUAACUGGAGGAUUCAUCUCGUCUCGUCAUUACUCUAGUUUGGUCUGAACUCGCUAUGCAUCCUCCCACCCACACACACCGAUACACACGCUAAUGGUGAAAGGAAGAUUGAUGAGAUGGAUAUUCGAAGAUAUUUUAGCAGAGAGAAAGAGAAGCAGCCGCAGGAGAUUGGCAGCCCAGUUGAUUCUGAGGGAGCCGGUGUGAUUGAGUUAUUGUCAAGUGUUCAUGAGAUGGAUUGGCUGAGAGAAGAAACUGUUCCUGUGUCUGGUCGUUCUGGUGCUCAGAGCUCUGUAGCGUCGACCAGAUGGCAACAGUUCAAAGAGGAAGUGUGCUGGAUGUGAGGGGUCCAGAGUGAUUUUGCCAGCCCUUUUGCUCACUCUGGAUGAGUACAGUUCAGAGUACAUCGGAGGAAAAACAUACAACAUCAUCAAAUCCAUGUACACUAGUAACAAAUUUGCUGUUAAAAUUGGCAACAAACACACAAAAUGUCUAAAUGUCUUCUGUUUGCAGAUGAUCUAGUGCUGCUGUCACCCACAAAAGAGGGUCUACAGCAGCACCUGGACCUCCUGCACUGAGAGAGAGAGACUCAGUGAAAUAUACAGUGCAUCAAUAUGUAAUCUGUGUACUGUAUUUAUUCACCUCAUUUACUCACAGAGAUUCUAACUCUGCAGCAGUUGUGCACAUAUAAGGACUGUAAACAGUGACCCCCGCACUUUGGACCCCCGCAGUGCACUUUAUAGAGAGUAUUUCAUAGCUAACUAACUAACUUCCUCCUCCGUUAAAUCACUGCAAUCCAAGUUUGAGUUCAACAACAGAGUCAGAUAUAAACACUAAAACAAACGAAAAUCAGUCAGAAUCAAACAUGCUCCUGAUUAUCCUCCAGGUUUAUUUUGACUUUAACUUAUGUUUAUGACCCUCAAUAAUACACAGACAUCAUCAGCCGUG
Long non-coding RNA from Cyprinus carpio carpio, 1261 nucleotides. Lineage: Eukaryota; Metazoa; Chordata; Actinopteri; Cypriniformes; Cyprinidae. The record is from Ensembl.